Molecule: ribosomal RNA, 253 nt
Filed under: uncultured bacterium
Lineage: Bacteria
Description: partial 16S ribosomal RNA
Rfam family: Bacterial small subunit ribosomal RNA
Source: RNAcentral
UACAGAGGUCCCAAGCGUUGUUCGGAUUCACUGGGCGUAAAGGGUGCGUAGGUGGUGAGGUAAGUCGGAUGUGAAAGCUCGGAGCUCAACUCCGAAAUGGCAUUGGAAACUACCUUGCUCGAGGGUUGGAGGGGGGACUGGAAUGCUUGGUGUAGCAGUGAAAUGCGUAGAUAUCAAGCGGAGCACCAGUGGCGAAGGCGAGUCCCUGGACAACUCCUGACACUGAGGCACGAAAGCUAGGGGAGCAAACAGG